RNAcentral lists this ribosomal RNA (448 nucleotides) under uncultured bacterium. RNAcentral's name for it is "bacterial SSU rRNA". It matches the Rfam family "Bacterial small subunit ribosomal RNA", at positions 328 to 792 of the family's 1533-position model. The record is from RNAcentral.
GGUCCAGACUCCUACGGGAGGCAGCAGUGGGGAAUAUUGCACAAUGGGGGAAACCCUGAUGCAGCGACGCCGCGUGAGUGAAGAGGUAUUUCGGUAUGUAAAGCUCUAUCAGCAGGGAAGAAGCAAGACGGUACCUGACUAAGAAGCCCCGGCUAACUACGUGCCAGCAGCCGCGGUAAUACGUAGGGGGCAAGCGUUAUCCGGAUUUACUGGGUGUAAAGGGAGCGUAGACGGAGAAGCAAGUCUGAAGUGAAAGCCCGUGGCUUAACUACGGGACUGCUUUGGAAACUGUUUGACUAGAGUGCUGGAGAGGUAAGUGGAAUUCCUAGUGUAGCGGUGAAAUGCGUAGAUAUUAGGAGGAACACCAGUGGCGAAGGCGGCCUGCUGGGCUUUUACUGACGCUGAGGCUCGAAAGUGUGGGGAGCAAACAGGAUUAGAUACCCUCGUA